This is a long non-coding RNA of Eriocheir sinensis (Chinese mitten crab), 2396 nucleotides long. RefSeq lists it as uncharacterized. Lineage: Eukaryota; Metazoa; Arthropoda; Malacostraca; Decapoda; Varunidae. The record is from RefSeq and is a predicted model, not a curated record. The transcript is spliced from 4 exons.
UAUGGAGUAGAUUGUGUAGAUCACUUUCAUCUUGUAAUGCUUCUCUUGACCCCAUUACAAAAAGUUAAUAUCUUGUUACUUUUCAACGGGCCAUCUGGCAGGUGGGACGGCUGGUGGCGGAGAGGCGGUCCUUCAUGUCUCCCAUGCACCACGUCCCCGUGGCUCAGCGGCUCGCGAUAUAUGAAUUUUCCUACGGCUAUGAGUAUGGCUCCUUUGCCUUUUCUGCGGCGACUCCUUCCCUGAGGCCACGCUGGCAGUCUCUCUACUACCCUCUGUCGGACUUCGUGUGGCUUGCUGUCUUGGCGGUGCUGCUCUUAGUUCCUGUCUCCUUUUAUGUCGUCAACAAGUUCGCUUCUUGGCUGAAUUCUGAGAAGGAAAUCAACUUUGGGAUGGCCUCCCAGAUGAUCGCCGCCACGCUCCUUGCCCAAGACCUGUCAAUCAAACCCCCUGAGUCCCACGCGAGCCGGGCCCUGGUGGCGGCGUGGCUGGUCUUCGCCCUCGUGCUGGGGACGGUGUACCGCGGCAACCUAACGGCCGCCCUCACCCUGCCUAAAUACCCACCCAGGCCGGAGACCGUCGAGGACCUGGUGCGUAGCUUCGACAGAAUAUCGAUGCCUUCCUAUGGACAAGUAUUCAUUGAAAACUUUAGGAACUCGACCUACUCCGUAUUCCGAGAAAUGGGGGAAAAGAUGUUCAUUAUCAACAACGCUUUAGAAGCAAUGGAACGAUCUGUGGACCACAGGUAACUGACACACACACAAAAUAAACUAUCUAAUUAACUAUACCAGCAAACAUUCUUGCUAAACAUGGUGAAUUGGUGAUGGUGAUGACAAAAAAAAAUAUCAGAACAAUUCUUCGCUUCGCAACCUCCAGAGAGGCUCACGUGGGGUGGAUGAGCUACAUGGCGACGCUAAUAGCACGACACUUCUUGCAAGCGGACGGAGGCGCCAAAAUUUACAUUGGACGUGAGAGUGUGUCCCGCACGCUCACGGCCUGGCCGCUGCCCCACGACGCGCCUUACAAGCGGCAAGUGGAUGCUAUCAUGGUGGCGGUGCUGGAGGCUGGACUGUACGAAGAGUGGAGAAAAGACUUCCUGGACAUGAUCGAAAGGGAAACUCGCAGGAAGCAAAGGCGGCUGCAGGAGGAGGCAGACCAAGCGGAAAGUUCGGAAGUAGUCGGCGGGUUGGUGCGUGCCCUCAGCCUGGUACAUAUGCAGGGGCCCAUCUUUAUUCUGCUGCUGGGGCUCGGCACUGCGGCUGUCGUGUUCACCGUGGAAGUCACUGUUUUCUAUUACUCCCUGUGUUCUGCCGUGUGAAGUUAAUGAUGACACUUUGAAUUGAAACUGUUGACUUAAGAACUACCUGCUACAAUCCGACUGCUGGAAACUUAUUUUUUUUACAGUAAAGGAAACAACUCAAGGGCAAACGCAAAACCAGAGAAAAAGCCCGCUAUGUGCUGCUCCUGCAAAGAAAACAGAGCAGGUGGCCAGAAGUGAGGGGCACUUUCAGGAGAGGCGUCUUGAUGUAGAUCCAGACAAACCUUUCCAAUAACACAUAUGUUAAUGAAGGGGAGCAGUCUUGCCGUAUAUUACCUUUUGUGCUGAUCAGAAAAAAAGCCAGCUUGCAGAAUUUAGUAAAUUCUAUUGACCGGUAAAUAUUUACUUUGAUCGUGCGGCCUCAUUUGCAGGAAUAUUUUCUGUGAGUUUUAUAUGUAUAUUUAAGCGUUGCAAUGCAGUUGACCUACCCAGUAUUCAGCAACCUUAAGUUAAACGUAUUUGCUGUAAAAUGAAAAGAACCAAGGGGCCAAAAUUGUAUCCAAAAUAUUGCUGCUCAUUAAACGGGUGUUCUGACGAAGCCAGUUUGAUGCUGCGCCAGACAUGCGCAACAGUUUACUUGUUAAGAAUUGUUACACCCCGGGCUGGUGGACGCCCUGGCACUGAUGCACUUGUAGGAACCACUAUUGUUAUUGGUGAUGAUGAUGAUGAUCAUGGCUUUCUUCUUUGUGUUCACGGCAGAAAUGAUCACUUACACUUCCCUCAUUUUUUUUUUUCAAGAUUAAAUGGCAACAGUGAUGACGAAGACACUACAAGAAUGGAGUGCUAGUGCUGCUGAAGCUUUAAUCUAUAAUGGUAAAGGCACUGCACUGAAUAAAACGUUCUAAGACUUUCUUGUGUCAAAAUUCAUGUUGCAGCAUUUCUCUACGACUGGCUCAUGAGCAAGAAAACCAUGUGGUGAAUCAGAUGUGAAAGCAAUGUUUGUCCAAGCACUAAUUUACCUGUUCGCAAUAGAGGUAAAAAAAAUGUCAGAGCGCCAAUAUUCAUUAUUUUGAUUUUUUUUAGGGUGCCUCCGAAUUGUCGCAGCUGAGCGACAUGGCAGUAUAUGCAAAAAAAAAAAAAA